RNAcentral lists this long non-coding RNA (664 nucleotides) under Callithrix jacchus (white-tufted-ear marmoset). RNAcentral describes it as "lncRNA (ENSCJAG00000060769.2)". Lineage: Eukaryota; Metazoa; Chordata; Mammalia; Primates; Cebidae. The record is from RNAcentral.
GUUGUAGCUCAAUCUAUUCUUUACUUAAUGUAAUUCUGUUUGGCUCUUACAGUUGAAGAAUUGUAAAUGGAAAUAGGAAUUUAAACUUCAUCUCCUUCUAACUUCACUUGACUGAGAAAGGAAUUAAAUUGGUUCAAAGUAAUGCUGAUCAUCUGAUAUCUUUGACCUUUCCACAUAUCCUGCAUGGAAGGAGGAGGAAGAAAUAUUGGAACAGGUAUUGUGAAAAUGAACAUUGACAAUAGAAGACUUGCAAAAUAAUUCUGCAGUAUUGACUCAGAGUAGCGCAAAUCCAAAGGUGCAGGUUCAAUUUACAGAUUGGUAUUAAAGGAAAGGGGCAAGCCUGAAGGAGAGAAUAUUGAUUGACUACAUUUAUGAAAAUUAUUCUGCUUUUGGGUGCUACAGAAGACCCCUGGAGAAUCCAGAGGAGAGGUAAACAAUAUUACCUCAAAUAUGUAGGUAAGUAAGAUUGCCAAAAUAAUUUUUAAUCUUCAGGUUAUGUUUUAGUAAAUAAUAUUAAAAUACACUCCAAAAUUGUAUGGAAUUUCUCAAAUUUGAAUGUCUGAGUACAUGCUAUCCAUCACAAUUAAGGGUGUUGUUUUAGGUUAUUGUAAAUUACCAAGAUAACCAAAUAUGUUAGUCAAUCAUGUUUUUGACUAUAAAUACC